AUGGCAGGAGAGACGCUUUCGAGAAAACUGUCAGCCGUAUCACCGAUACCGGGUACCACGAAAACUGUUUCUGUUCUUCCUAUAGUUGGUCCAGGGGGUAUUGGAAAGACAACUUUCACCACUCACCUCUAUAAUGAUGCAAGGACUGAAGGGCACUUCCAGGUCAGGGUCUGGAUAUGUGUAUCCACUGAGUUCAAUGUGCUUAAGCUCACCAGGGAGAUCCUUGCCUGCAUACCUACAACUGAAGGAGAAGGAAGCAGCGGUGUUGCAAAUGAAACAACCAAUUUAGACCAGCUUCAGAAAUCCAUAGCGCACCGUCUCAACUCCAAGAGGUUUCUAAUUGUCUUGGAUGAUAUAUGGAAAUGUGAUGGUGAGGAUCAGUGGAAAACCCUGUUAGCUCCCUUCACAAAGGGGGAAGUUGACGGAAGCAUGCUACUUAUCACAACUCGAUUCCCAGAUCUAGCAAAAAUGGUGGGAACAGUUGACUCACUAGAACUGGCAGGUUUGGAGUCUAAUGACUUCUUCACAUUCUUUGAAGCAUGUAUAUUUGGUGAAGAAGACAAGCCUGAGCAUUACCAAGAUGAGUUUGCUAGUAUUGCACGAAAAAUUGCAAACAAGCUAAAGGGUUCCCCGUUGGCAGCCAAAACUGUUGGUAGACUAUUGCACAAGGACCUUUCUCAGAAACAUUGGAAUGGAGUUCUUGAAAAUAAUGAGUGGCUAAAGCAGCAAAAUAAUUAUGAUAUCAUGCCAUCUUUAAAGAUUAGCUACGAUUGCCUCCCUUUUUAUCUGAAGAAAUGCUUUUCCUAUUGUGGUCUUUUCCCUGAAGAUCAUAGGUUUACUUCUUCUGAAAUCAAUCAUUUCUGGGUUUCAAUUGGCAUCAUAGACUCUAAUCACCAAGGCAACAGGAAUUACUUGGAAGAACUAGUGGACAGUGGUUUUCUCAUGAAGAAAUUCAAUUAUCAGGGUGAUCGAUGCUGGUAUGUAAUGCAUGAUUUAAUGCAUGAGCUAUCUAAGAGUGUUUCUGCACAAGAAUGCCUCAAUAUAAGUGGCUUAGAUUUCAGAGCUGAUGCCAUCCCACAAUCUGUUCGACACUUAUCUAUCAACAUAGAAGACAGAUAUGAUGCAAAUUUUGAGAAAGAAAUGUGUAAACUAAGGGAGAGGAUAGACAUUGCUAAUCUGCGGACUUUGAUGUUUUUUAGAGGAUAUGAAGAAGAAAGAAUCGCCAAGAUUCUGAAAGAUAGCUUCAAGGAAAUAAAUAGUCUGCGUGUCCUAUUUAUAGUGGUGAAGUAUGCACAAUCUUUUCCAUAUAGGUUUUCAAAACUUAUCCACCUCCAGUACCUCAAAAUUACUUCAUCUCACGGUCACAGGGAAAUGAGAUUACCUAGUACACUAUCAAGAUUUUAUCACUUGAAAUUCUUGGACCUAGAUUAUUGGAAUGGUCGUUCUGAUUUGCCUGGAGAAUUUUGCCACCUUGAGAAUUUACAUGAUUUCCAUGGUAGAAGUGAACUCCACUCCAAUAUUCGCAAUGUGGGAAAGAUGAAGCAUCUACUGAGGCUAAAAGAAUUCCAUGUCAGGAAAGAGAGCAUGGGAUUUGAACUGACAGAACUUGGGGCAUUGACAGAGCUUGAAGGAGGACUGAUUAUACGUGGUCUUGAACACGUGGAAACCAAGGAGGAAGCUACUGAAGCAAAACUGAUGUUGAAAAGGAAUCUGAAGGAGCUGGAAUUACUCUGGGGCAGAGAUGGACCAACUACAGAUCCUGAUAUUCUUGAUGCUCUUCAACCACAUUCUAAUCUUAGAGUACUUACAAUUGCAAAUCAAGGUGGUACCGUUGGUCCUAGUUGGUUGUGUCUUGACAUCUGGUUAACAAGUUUAGAGACUCUCACUCUAGAAGGCGUAUCUUGGAGCACCCUCCCACCUUUUGGGAAGCUACCAAAUCUCAAGGGACUCAAUUUGAUAAAAGUUUCUGGAAUGCAUCAGUUUGGGCCUCGAUGUGCUGGUGUUCCAGGCAAAUGUUUUAUACGCUUGAAGACAGUUGGGUUUUAUGAGAUGCCAGAACUUGCUGAAUGGGUUGUGGAACCUAAUUGCCAUUCCUUUCCAAGUCUUGAAAGAAUCGAAUGCAUGGAUUGCCCCAAUCUCCGUGUGAUGCCCUUGUCGGAGGAAUCUUGCACCAAUUUGCGCAGUCUUCGAGUCUCUGGGUGCCCCAAGAUGUAUCUGCCCUCCAUGCCUCACACCUCCACACUGACAAAUUUGGAUGUUAAAAGAGGUGAUUCAGAAAGGUUGCGUUAUGAUGGAAAGAAAUUGGUUGUUAGUGGGUAUGGCGGUGCUUUGGCCUACCACAAUCUGGAUAAAGUAGAAGAUAUGGCUAUUGAAAAUGUAUCACACAUAUCAUUGACAGACAUUGAAAAGUUUAAAUCCCUAACAGAACUAACUGUCGAAAGAUGCGACGGUUUCUUCCCUGAAGAGCUGGAUGGCAGUAUUGUCUUCCAUUCAGUUAAGAGUCUCAAAUUAGAUGUAUUUCAUCUUACCAGCAAAUCAUCAUCAUCAAAAGUGUUAAACAGUUCCAAAAACCGGAAAAAACCCAGCUGGGAACCUCUAGAAGGUUCCCAAAACCGGGAGCGCUGGACGGUUAAACGAGCCGGCCCGUUGCCUCGCUGCUCGGUCGCUCGCCUGUGCGAAGCGCCCGCAGUUUGA
This 2694-nucleotide ribosomal RNA is filed under the name Triticum aestivum (bread wheat). Its description in RNAcentral is "partial small subunit ribosomal RNA". The record is from RNAcentral. Lineage: Eukaryota; Viridiplantae; Streptophyta; Magnoliopsida; Poales; Poaceae.